AGGACGUUACGGACGACAGACGUAUCUAAGAAAUAUUCUAAUUCGUCGUGAUCCCGAUGACGAAGGUGCUCGUACCAAAGGUUUCGGUAUGAGGGUUAUGGGAGGAAAAAACGGUGACGAUGGACGACUUUACGCACAGAUUUCGUGGAUAGUUCCUGGAAGCGCUGUAGAGAAACAUGGCUUAAAACCGGGUGAUAAAAUAAUUAAAUGGAAUACGGAAUGCUUAACGGAUAAGACUUAUGAAGAAGUAUCAUCCAUUAUGGAACGAUCUAGUGAUGUGGUUGAAUUAUUGGUUGAGGUUUCAGGAAGAACGUAUGUAUAUAAAUUUUAUUAUAUAAUAACGUAACUCAAUUUAAUCUCUACUCUUAUCAAAUAGGCUGAGGAAAAGAGGAAAUACGUCUAUAUUCUCCUGUUAUACAGUAUGUAUAUGUGACCCUACUGUAUUGAAUAUAUUAAAGUGAGAGAUUAGUUUACAAUGAUACCCAUUGUAGUAUAGUGGUUCUUAGUUUUAUCUAUUAUAGUGCUUGACCCACAAAGAGCUAGAAUACAUAAUAGAUGAAGAAUGACGUCUCGAUCCAACUAAUUAAGUUGACAGACGGAUGGGUUAGAUGGUUGAGACCCGGGAUCGAAACCGGGCGAGCAACCCCAAAUAGUUUUUAAUGGCGGUCUGUCUCUGAUAUGUCACACCCCUAUGUGGGCCUGGCCAAACCCAUAAUUGACAUGAUAGAAGAGGGCGGAGAGCAAAAAAAUGAAGAUAAAGUAUAUUCAUUCUAUAUUUCAUAUUAUAUAUUUUCGACAUCGAUUUGACUUUUUUUGUUUGUUUGUAUUAAAAAAUGAUAAUUUGGUAAAAGCUGCACGCCUCCUUGCAAUAGUAUCGCGCCCCACAGAUAGGAAAACACUGGUGUAGUGUAUAUACAGUCAGGGGUUGAAAAGUUUUAUGCUGACUCAAUAUUUAGACAAAUAUUUCUGUUGUCAGCAGAAAAUAGAAAUAUCUAAGGACAUAAGACUGGUUGAAGAAAAACUGCAAAAGACUAGUAAGCAUACACAAUUCAUCUUUCGUCGUUGCUUGCUUAUGCCAUUGCUCGAUCCUUUAAACUGUAGUUGUAGUACAUAAACAAAGAAGCCCCCGAAUCAUUAACUGAAAGAGAAACAAACACGAACAAGGACAGUAUAUAGGAAAAGUGUACAGGUCUAUUGGUUUUUAAGUUAAUAAAAACAGAUCUCAAUGCAGUGUCUGUUGCAUCGCUAAGUUAGAAGCAAAUAAGUCACGAAAUAAUAUCUAUUUUGUACGUACGCUUGUACUUAUCAAACCAAUAUUUAUAUCUAUAUCAAAAAUCAAUAUUUGAAAUACAGGUAAUUUUAAAUAUUGACUUUUAAUACAGAAUUCUAAAAUUCCAAUAUCAAUUCCUUAGUAGCAACAUCAUUCAUCUAUCCUUUUUCUUAAUGCCUAGUGUUUUUAUGAUACAUAAUUUGUCUCCCUUUGCUUAAAAACGUAGGAAAAUAUUUUAUCUGUAAUUUUAAUAGUUAUACAACGCGAUAAAAAUAUUAAUUUUCUCAAAUAUU
RNAcentral lists this long non-coding RNA (1563 nucleotides) under Centruroides sculpturatus (bark scorpion). Its description in RNAcentral is "uncharacterized LOC111628420". Lineage: Eukaryota; Metazoa; Arthropoda; Arachnida; Scorpiones; Buthidae. The record is from RNAcentral.